GUUACGAUUUGAUGCAAGGUUAAGCAGUAAAUGUGGAGCCGUAGCGAAAGCGAGUCUGAAUAGGGCGUUUAGUAUUUGGUCGUAGACCCGAAACCAGGUGAUCUACCCUUGGUCAGGUUGAAGUUCAGGUAACACUGAAUGGAGGACCGAACCGACUUACGUUGAAAAGUGAGCGGAUGAACUGAGGGUAGCGGAGAAAUUCCAAUCGAACCUGGAGAUAGCUGGUUCUCUCCGAAAUAGCUUUAGGGCUAGCCUCAAGUGAUGAUUAUUGGAGGUAGAGCACUGUUUGGACGAGGGGCCCCUCUCGGGUUACCGAAUUCAGACAAACUCCGAAUGCCAAUUAAUUUAACUUGGGAGUCAGAACAUGGGUGAUAAGGUCCGUGUUCGAAAGGGAAACAGCCCAGACCACCAGCUAAGGUCCCAAAAUAUAUGUUAAGUGGAAAAGGAUGUGGCGUUGCCCAGACAACUAGGAUGUUGGCUUAGAAGCAGCCAUCAUUUAAAGAGUGCGUAAUAGCUCACUAGUCGAGUGACACUGCGCCGAAAAUGUACCGGGGCUAAACAUAUUACCGAAGCUGUGGAUUGUCCUUUGGACAAUGGUAGGAGAGCGUUCUAAGGGCGUUGAAGCAUGAUCGUAAGGACAUGUGGAGCGCUUAGAAGUGAGAAUGCCGGUGUGAGUAGCGAAAGACGGGUGAGAAUCCCGUCCACCGAUUGACUAAGGUUUCCAGAGGAAGGCUCGUCCGCUCUGGGUUAGUCGGGUCCUAAGCUGAGGCCGACAGGCGUAGGCGAUGGAUAACAGGUUGAUAUUCCUGUACCACCUAUAAUCGUUUUAAUCGAUGGGGGGACGCAGUAGGAUAGGCGAAGCGUGCGAUUGGAUUGCACGUCUAAGCAGUAAGGCUGAGUAUUAGGCAAAUCCGGUACUCGUUAAGGCUGAGCUGUGAUGGGGAGAAGACAUUGAGUCUUCGAGUCGUUGAUUUCACACUGCCGAGAAAAGCCUCUAGAUAGAAAAUAGGUGCCCGUACCGCAAACCGACACAGGUAGUCAAGAUGAGAAUUCUAAGGUGAGCGAGCGAACUCUCGUUAAGGAACUCGGCAAAAUGACCCCGUAACUUCGGGAGAAGGGGUGCUCUUUAGGGUUAACGCCCAGAAGAGCCGCAGUGAAUAGGCCCAAGCGACUGUUUAUCAAAAACACAGGUCUCUGCUAAACCGUAAGGUGAUGUAUAGGGGCUGACGCCUGCCCGGUGCUGGAAGGUUAAGAGGAGUGGUUAGCUUCUGCGAAGCUACGAAUCGAAGCCCCAGUAAACGGCGGCCGUAACUAUAACGGUCCUAAGGUAGCGAAAUUCCUUGUCGGGUAAGUUCCGACCCGCACGAAAGGCGUAACGAUUUGGGCACUGUCUCAACGAGAGACUCGGUGAAAUCAUAGUACCUGUGAAGAUGCAGGUUACCCGCGACAGGACGGAAAGACCCCGUGGAGCUUUACUGUAGCCUGAUAUUGAAAUUCGGCACAGCUUGUACAGGAUAGGUAGGAGCCUUUGAAACGUGAGCGCUAGCUUACGUGGAGGCGCUGGUGGGAUACUACCCUAGCUGUGUUGGCUUUCUAACCCGCACCACUUAUCGUGGUGGGAGACAGUGUCA
RNAcentral lists this ribosomal RNA (1631 nucleotides) under Staphylococcus aureus M0491. Its description in RNAcentral is "bacterial LSU rRNA". It matches the Rfam family "Bacterial large subunit ribosomal RNA", at positions 627 to 2259 of the family's 2925-position model. The record is from RNAcentral. Lineage: Bacteria; Bacillati; Bacillota; Bacilli; Caryophanales; Staphylococcaceae.